UCUCUCUCUCUCUCUUUCUGUCUCUCUCUCUCUUUCUGUGUCUCUGUCUCUCUCUGUGUCUCUCUCCCUCUCUCUCUUUCUGUCUCUCUCCCUCUCUCUUUCUGUGUCUCUCUCUCUCUCUCUCCCUCUCUCUCUUUCUGUUUCUCUCCCUCUCUCUCUCUCUUUUUCUCUCUCCCUCUCUCUCUUUCUCUCUCUCUCUCUCUAUAUAUAUACAGUAUAUAUAAAUAUUUCUGUCCCUCUGUGACUCUGCAUUUCUCUCUCACUGGGCCUCAUGCAGGAAGCCACAUAAGAAACAAUUGCCAAUGUCCUUAUUUUUUGUUUUGUUUUGUUUUUAUUUGGUUAGUUCCCAAGAAGAAAACAUUCACAGUCCACACAUUUUUGUCCAACACAAGGAAAAACACAUGAAUGUAAUAUAAUAAAAGUAAGAUUAUUAUACAUUUUAGAGUAAUGAUAGUUAUAUUGCGUUCAUGGGCAUGUCCCAGAGUAUUUGCACACGGCACAACACCUGCCCUCACAUGUGUUUCGAGGGCAUUACCUAUUCUAACAACAAACAAUCGGCCAUGUGCCUCCAAUUUAUGAUAAAGUAGGAUUCAUCAUUCAGCACACCAGGGUCAGGGAAGAUUUGGAUGGAACGUUUGGUGCAUCUGGAGCUGACUUAACAGCAAAUUAAGAGAAAAUAUAAGAGAGAUGGAAUAGAAUGUUGCUGCAUGAGAAUGAAGUCCACUAUCACUCACUUUUCUCCUCUCCCUUCUAUCUCUGAAUCACUAUAUUUCCAUCUUCCAAUCUCUCUUACUGCUCUCUUUCUCUUUAUCUCUUCUACUCUAUCCCUCUCUCCAUCCUUUCCUGUGCCUGUGUGCAGUAAGCUGUGCAGUGGUCCGUGUAAAAUGCUGAGCUCUCAUUCUCCUUGCUGGAGAGGUGAAGCCCCCAACUCAGCCUUGACUUUCAUAGUUCUCAUCGCUUUAUCUUGGAAUAAACUGUUGCUACAACACGGUAUGCCAAUUUGACUUCAUCGUUGUUAAGACUUUACUGCAGGAAACUGUAUGAACAUGUGUGAAAAUGGCUAAAGUUAACUUCAUACCAUUCACCAUUUCAUUCCCACAGAAACUAGACAUAAAAGAGAAUGAAUCAAUCUUGUAAAUAGAUAAAGACAAUAUAUGAGUUAUUUAGUCCAAUACCAAGAACACUGCAGCAGCCACCACCGCAGUAGCCUACUGCUUACAAUAGUCUGCAGCACGCAUGCAACGCACUAAGCUGUACCAGUGACCACAAGGCAAGGUAUUACAGCAGUUUUUGCCUUAGCUGUCAUACUAUGGUCGUAACACGCGAACCAACCCUCAUCCAGCUGAUCCUGCCGAUAGCGGCUGAGAGAGAUGUGAAACUGUUUCGGCUUCUUGGUAGCUCUUCUGAAAGGCAUUCAAAUCUGUUUAUUAGAGCACUGUGCCAAGUCUCUCUGCAUCGACAUCACCGCGCAACACAACCACACCAGUGUCAAAUAAUUGAGUGAGGGUUAACUAGCGCCGAUGGCCAUUACCAAAACAAAAGCAACAAACUUGCCCUGCCAGAACAGUGCUCCAUCGUGACAGGCUAACCGCAUGAAAACGACGGUCGGUGCGCGAACGCAGCAGGUGAUCUUAAAGCGUGCUACACUUAUUGAACUACAGGAAACCAACGCUGUGACCCACAGCUCCACCUAGAGGCUCAUAGCAGCACUUUCCACAGGAAGGUCAGUGACCAUCGGAGACAGACAGACACCUGGCUGGGGUCACCAUCACGCCCUCAGUAGAUGCUUUACAUGUAGCACAUCCACAAAUAACAGCAACACACAUAAACACGCUUCAGCACUGCUGAUUCUAUUCAGUCAGCAUCCUUUACAGAGGCUGAAUGGCGAGCUGCUCCAGCUGCAGCAGGGGAUCUAUAGAGGCUUUUAUAGAUCAACAGAUUUUUUUCUGGAUGUAAUUGCCUCCCAGCUUGUAGUCAUUCAUGUAUUUAAAAUCUGUUAUGUUUAAUCCAUUAGGCACCAAACCUUCAUUGAACCACCAUCCUCUCAGCAAGUGGCUAAUAAUCAUGUAUAUGAAGUGGGUUGAGAAGACAGCAGCUGUAGCGGUCUAUAAAGCCUACUAGAGUCAACAUACACAGACAUAUACAGGAAACAUUUCAUAUGUUAUACAUGUAUGUAAGCAUCUCCACACUUCGCAAUAUGAAGAACAUCUUGAAAGCUUGAAAAUUAUAUACGUAGCUAUGAUGAUGCUGGGUACUGGAGAGGUGUGGAUGAUCUCCAGGGAGCUCUUAGAGAACAAUGGAUGAAUAUCAGACGAAAACCUUCAUACCUCAGCAGUAGUGUUAUUAAGGCCAGACGUUGUUGUGAAAUAGGUCAGGGUUUCAGCAGCCAAAAAAGAGACUUAUAAAGUUUGCGACAAAUAAAGUCUUUCAACAUGAAUCACGUAUUCAGGCAGCCAUUUCUGCUGUAUGUGUUUUUUAAAUCACUGGUUUUGAUUUAGUUUGCAAUUACUGUUGGAUCAUAUUUUCACAUAACAGUAAAUGCUCUCUAGGAAAUAGUUUCCACUAACACACACACACACACACACACAGAGAGAGGAAAUAGUCACCACCACAUAAAUAUGAAGGUGUCCCAACAGGACUGCUUUUGGCCACAGUGAUGCUGCGUGAGUAAACAAACAUAAUGAGAUUUCAAGGCAGACACACGGGAAGAAGGUGACAGUUUUCUGGAAUGCAGAGAUGGGACAGA
Molecule: long non-coding RNA, 2746 nt
Organism: Clupea harengus (Atlantic herring)
Lineage: Eukaryota; Metazoa; Chordata; Actinopteri; Clupeiformes; Clupeidae
Source: Ensembl